UGCUGUGCCUGUUUUUCCUUUGCAGUUACUCAGAGUCCACCAAGCUCUACUCAAAUUGCUAAUUAGCAGGAGCUGAAUGCUUCUAUUUAAAGGAGAAAAUCAGUUCCAGAACAAGAUGGAGGUAAGACCUCUGUGAGACAAGUUGUGAAGUCUGAAUGUUCCAAGAUUUCCCCGAGUGAAUGGAAGGGAAGAUGUUUCUCAGCACUGCAAUAACCUCCUGCUGUGCUACUGUUGAUGUCCAACAAAAAAAGGAGGUUCCAGGAAUACUUGUAAUACAACAGAGAGCAAUAAAUGACAGUUAAAAAAACUUUUGUGCUAUUUGAAGUGUUUGUUACCACAAUAAAAUUUAUUUAAAGUCUUGUCUCA
Molecule: long non-coding RNA, 366 nt
Organism: Haemorhous mexicanus (house finch)
Lineage: Eukaryota; Metazoa; Chordata; Aves; Passeriformes; Fringillidae
Exons: 2
Source: RefSeq, a predicted model, not a curated record